Molecule: ribosomal RNA, 449 nt
Filed under: uncultured bacterium
Lineage: Bacteria
Description: partial 16S ribosomal RNA
Rfam family: Bacterial small subunit ribosomal RNA
Source: RNAcentral
AACGAACGCUGGCGGCAUGCCUAACACAUGCAAGUCGAACGAGACCUUCGGGUCUAGUGGCGCACGGGUGCGUAACGCGUGGGAACCUGCCCUUAGGUUCGGAAUAACGUCGGGAAACUGACGCUAAUACCGGAUAAUGUCUUCGGACCAAAGAUUUAUCGCCUUUGGAUGGCCCCGCGUAGGAGUAGCUAGUUGGUGAGGUAACGGCUCACCAAGGCGACGAUCCUUAGCUGGUCUUAGAGGAUGAUCAGCCACACUGGGACUGAGACACGGGCCAGACUCCGACGGGAGGCAGCAGUGGGGAAUAUUGGACAAUGGGCGCAAGCCUGAGCCAGCAAUGCCGCGUGAGUGAUGAAGGCCUUAGGGUUGUAAAGCUCUUUUACCCGGGAUGAUAAUGACAGUACCGGGAGAAUAAGCCCCGGCUAACUCCGUGCCAGCAGCCGCGGUAA